Molecule: ribosomal RNA, 492 nt
Filed under: uncultured bacterium
Lineage: Bacteria
Description: partial 16S ribosomal RNA
Rfam family: Bacterial small subunit ribosomal RNA
Source: RNAcentral
AGUGAACGCUGGCGGUAGGCCUAACACAUGCAAGUCGAACGGCAGCACAGUAAGAGCUUGCUCUUACGGGUGGCGAGUGGCGGACGGGUGAGGAAUGCAUCGGAAUCUACUUUUUCGUGGGGGAUAACGUAGGGAAACUUACGCUAAUACCGCAUACGACCUACGGGUGAAAGCAGGGGAUCUUCGGACCUUGCGCGAUUGAAUGAGCCGAUGUCGGAUUAGCUAGUUGGCGGGGUAAAGGCCCACCAAGGCGACGAUCCGUAGCUGGUCUGAGAGAAUGAUCAGCCACACUGGAACUGAGACACGGUCCAGACUCCUACGGGAGGCAGCAGUGGGGAAUAUUGGACAAUGGGCGCAAGCCUGAUCCAGCCAUACCGCGUGGGUGAAGAAGGCCUUCGGGUUGUAAAGCCCUUUUGUUGGGAAAGAAAAGCAGCAGGUUAAUACCCCGCUGUUCUGACGGUACCCAAAGAAUAAGCACCGGCUAACUUCGUG